UUACUUCUGGAUAUGUGUAAUAUCGUUAUAAACAUACAAUUGAUCUCAUAAAUGAUAUGACAUAGAAAAGCUUGAGGAAGCGCUAAAAAAUGGAAGAAUCAGUAAAGUUCGAUAUUAAAGUGGUUAAAACUGAUCUUUUGCACGCGAUAAAUGAGUGCUCCCAACGUGGUUUACGAUAUACCACUAAAUGGUUAGCGGAAUUGAAUUACUCCUUGAAAAAUGUAAAGUUGAACUUGCACGACCUGACUACGGAUAUCAAGUCACUGGAGAUAAAUGAAGAGGAGGAUACCUAUACAUUAGCUAAAACAUAUUUUGAUUUGAAGGAAUAUGAUAGAGCUGCAUACUUUACAAAGGAUUGUACAACCCCAAAAGUUAGAUUUCUACAUUUGUAUUCACGUUAUUUGUCUGGAGAGAAGAAAAAGAUUGAUGACAUGACAGAUGUGCCACCGGAUCCUAUGAAAAAUGACAGUCUUAAAUUGCUUUGUGCCGAUCUGAGAAAGGAUCAUUUGGCCUCCAAGCUAGAUGGCUAUGGUUUAUAUCUCUUUGGUGUAACCUUAAAGAAACUACAACUCGCCAAAGAGGCAACUGAUGUCUUAGUGGAAUCUAUACACAAGGAGCCUAUGCACUGGGGUACAUGGUUAGAGCUGGCUGCUUUGAUCACAGACAGAGAGAAGCUGGAGAACUUAUGCCUGCCAAGCCAUUGGAUGAAGUACUUUUUUAUGGCGCAUAUGUAUUUAGAACUACAACUUAUAGAUGAAGGUUUAGCGUUGUAUUGUGAAUUGCAAUCGAUGGGUUUUCAAAAGAAUUGUUAUGUACUGGCUCAAACUGCAAUAGCAGUACAUUAUAGGAGAGAUGUUGAUACUGCGAUAGAAACUUUUAAAAGAAUAAUAGAAGAAGAUCCUUAUUGUCUUGACAACAUGGAUACAUAUUCAAAUUUACUUUACGUCAAAGAGAUGAAAGUUGAAUUGGCAUAUUUGGCGCAUAGAGCUACUGAGAUAGAUAAGUACAGGUUGGAGACCUGUUGUAUAGUAGGAAAUUAUUACAGUUUGAGAGCUGAUCAUCAAAAAGCAGUGAUGUAUUUCCACAGAGCACUGAAAAUGAAUCCACAAUAUCUAUCGGCCUGGACAUUAUUAGGUCACGAAUUUAUGGAAAUGAAAAACACUAAUGGCGCUAUCCACAGCUAUAGACAGGCAAUCGAGGUGAACAGACGAGAUUAUAGAGCAUGGUAUGGCUUAGGGCAGACAUACGAAAUCUUGAAAAUGCCAUUUUAUGGACUUUAUUAUUAUAAACAAGCUCAGCUCUUAAGACCACACGAUAGUAGAAUGGUUUUAGCCUUGGGUGAAGCAUAUGAGAAACAGGAUAAGAUACAAGAUGCACUCAAAUGUUACUACAAGGCAUGCAAUGUGGGCGAUAUAGAAGGCAUGGCACUGUUGAAAUUAGCAACACUGUAUGAGAAAUUGGGGGAACACGAUCACGCGGCUACAGCCUACACGGACUUCGUAGUUGAUGAAUACCGGAACGUCGAUAGGAAAGAGUUGAGUCAUGCAUACAUAUACCUAACACAAUAUCAUUUGAAGAGAGAGCAAUUGGAUCAAGCGAAUCAUUACGCACAGAAGUGUCUUCAGUUUGAUGAGACGAAGGAGGAGGCCAAGGUUCUGUUAAGAACAAUCGCCGAGAAGAGAGCGAAAGUGGAGGAAACUUCCAUGGUGGUGGAGGACAUGAACGAAACGGAUCCUGUGAUCGAGCAAGCAGCGCGUACGGACGCGAUAUCCGGCAGUCAACUAUCACCGAUGAAUCUCUCGUUCACACCUACCCCAUAAAUAAAAUGACAUCUCCAUUACCAUUCGCAGUCUAUGACAUUCGUGUAACUUCUCUGUAUAUAAAUACAAAGUAAUUCGGUAAUUUUAUGCACCAUUAACAGUGCUUCAUGGUCGGUCACAGGUAUCGCUGACUGAUGGAGACGAAUUUGCUCCUGUCUUCGUAAAGUUAAAACUCCCGGGGAACAAAAUUCUCGAGAAUUGGGAAUGAGACUGAAAUUAGAG
RNA transcript from Harpegnathos saltator (Jerdon's jumping ant), 2042 nucleotides. It is a transcript of the gene named cell division cycle protein 23, with no coding region annotated. NCBI's taxonomy places the organism in Eukaryota, Metazoa, Arthropoda, Insecta, Hymenoptera, Formicidae. The record is from RefSeq and is a predicted model, not a curated record. The transcript is spliced from 8 exons.